RNAcentral lists this ribosomal RNA (352 nucleotides) under uncultured bacterium. Its description in RNAcentral is "bacterial SSU rRNA". It matches the Rfam family "Bacterial small subunit ribosomal RNA", at positions 22 to 356 of the family's 1533-position model. The record is from RNAcentral.
GCUCAGGAUGAACGCUGGCGGCGUGCUUAACACAUGCAAGUCGAACGAAGCACUUUUACAGAUUUCUUCGGAAUGAAGUUUUAGUGACUGAGUGGCGGACGGGUGAGUAACGCGUGGGUAACCUGCCUCACACAGGGGGAUAACAGUUGGAAACGGCUGCUAAUACCGCAUAAGCGCACAGUACCGCAUGGUACGGUGUGAAAAACUCCGGUGGUGUGAGAUGGACCCGCGUCUGAUUAGCUAGUUGGCAGGGCAACGGCCUACCAAGGCGACGAUCAGUAGCCGACCUGAGAGGGUGACCGGCCACAUUGGGACUGGGACACGGCCCAAACUCCUACGGGAGGCAGCAGUA